This is a long non-coding RNA of Numida meleagris (helmeted guineafowl), 1672 nucleotides long. RefSeq lists it as uncharacterized. The transcript has 2 exons. Lineage: Eukaryota; Metazoa; Chordata; Aves; Galliformes; Numididae. The record is from RefSeq and is a predicted model, not a curated record.
CGGAGGGGCGGAGUUCUCUCGCUGUGCAGAGGGUGGGCGAGCAGGUAGAGGGGCUCUCACCGCUUGGGAACGGUGUUGGUAGCACAGCUGAAGUGAAAGGGCAGGAAGGAGGAGAGGGCACUGCGGAGCGGUUCUCAGGAGGUGAGUCAUCUCAGCGUGGUAUCUACAGGGACCAGCUUUGCUGGGGUGGAGAGCAGCUUGCACCCUGCUAAGAGAUGAGGCUUGCUGAAUGGCAGAUGGCAGCCCCUGCAGCAGCCCACCAAUGGCCUUCUCAAGGACCUGGAGAAGAAUGAGGCUCUAACGCUUGGCUACAUUCACCUGCUUCCCAGGCCACGUAGCUGUGUCCUGUGUUAGGUGAAAGGAGCCUACUAUCUCCACAGCAAGCCCCUGAGGACACUGACCACACGUUAGCUGAGCAAACAUGGACACUUCAUUGUCUGUUUGGGCUUUGAGGUGCAGAACUGUAUUCAACACUCCCGUGAACACAUGAGAAACUCCUGUCCUUCUAGAGAUGCUCUGCUUGGCUAUUUCUGAACAUCCUGCUUGAAUCCUUAGGCUGGGACAUGUGUUAAAGAUCCCAGACUGUAAGACAUGCAAAGACUAGGAGUUCGCCAAUGGGAGAGGGGAAGGAAGGAACAGAAGCAGAAUGGCCUGUCUUCCUGCAAAAAUAAGAAUAAUGGUACUAGAAUACUGCUUCUGCCUUUACAAAAUAACACACUACUGAACAGAAUAGAAAAAAAAUAAAGAAAAUCAUUGCUAGGCAAAUGUCUGCAUUCAAGGGAGUGGAAAACUGCUAUGAUGGCAUUGAUUUUUGGGAAGCAUUAAGAUGGAUUGAAUUGACAUUUUUGAUUCUUUGCUUGCUAGAAGUUUUACACAGAGGUGGUUCGGAGUGAUUGCAGUAAAUCCUGGUGCACAGAGGCUUGGUUGCAUAGGCUCCUAAGUACCCAUCUGCAACUGCUUGCCUCAAUUAAGCUCCUCUACAUUUUCCAAGUGUUUUCCAGCCAUGCCAGGACAGUAGUUAGUUAAUGAUUGAUUUUCAUUUGGCAGUUUGCCAUGUAGUCAGUGACAGACACCAGAACUCUUUAACACAUUUAAUGGGAUUUUCCUUCCAUUUACACUAUCAUAAAUUACAAAGCAUAUUUCACUUCACAAAAUAAAACCAUUUCCAGAUCAUUUUUAUGACAGUAUUAAGUAGUACAUAACCUACAACAAAUAGUCCUGUACAAGUCAGGAGGAUCUAUAGAAGUAUUGGGAACUCAGACUAUUUAGCAUUUGCUCUGCAAUCUGGAUUAAUCUAUCUAGCCCUUAGUUAUUUCUCUAGAAGACAACAAUUUUACAGUAAUACCCUCCACUUCCCUUCAUUAUCAUAGUUACACGUAUUUUUUUCAAUUUGAAUAGAAACAUGUGCUCCCUGAAAUAAUUCAGGAAACUGAGUUACCCACUAUAUCAUACAAAUGACCAAGAGGAGGGAUUAUUAUAUUUCCUUUUGUAUUGAGAAUUGAGUUUGGUAGUAAAGUAUGCUGAUUUUCUAUACUUGCAGAAACAUCUCAUGCUGAGAAACAGUUUUAACAUUAGGGAUAAGUUGCAGUUAGACAAUGAACUCUGUAGUCAAUGUUUGUGAGGGGAGAAAAAUAUUAAAAUUUGGUAAUAAUUAAAAUUACCAACUUCCACA